This 5315-nucleotide small RNA is filed under the name Pongo abelii (Sumatran orangutan). RNAcentral's name for it is "retained intron". Lineage: Eukaryota; Metazoa; Chordata; Mammalia; Primates; Hominidae. The record is from RNAcentral.
GAAGCAAGAUGGCGGCGACGGCGGCCGCAGUGGUGGCCGAGGAGGACACGGAGCUGCGGGACCUGCUGGUGCAGACGCUGGAGAACAGCGGGGUCCUGAACCGCAUCAAGGCUGAACUCCGAGCAGCUGUGUUUUUAGCACUAGAGGAGCAAGAAAAAGUAGAGAACAAAACUCCUUUAGUCAAUGAGAGCCUGAAAAAGUUUUUAAAUACCAAAGACGGUAAGAGGUUCAGUUUGUUCUUGGUUAUCUGUCUCUGAAUUUUUGAAUCUUGAUACCAUUUGGGAGAAAUCAGGAAUUUCAGGGAAUUUUUUUAUGUCUUCAAUUGUUAUAGGUCCUCAUUUUAAAAUAAUAUUUUAUUGUACAACAAUUGUGUUGCUAUUACAUAUUUUUGGACUUGGGAUGUUGUUGCUUAGAGCCAGUUUUACUACAGAAAGCCAAUAUUAACCAUUAAAAAGUGAAACACUGAAAUCUAUGAGAUGAUUGUCUUACAGUUAGUUACAGACUGAUGAUCCCAGUGAAAAAAUUAGGAGAUUGAGAUUUUCAUUACUUAAUCAUAUUAUUCAAAGAGGAAAUUUGUAACUUAAAAAAUGUAGAAACCUUUCUUCCAUUAAUUUAGUGUAUCUAUUUCAUAAUGUUAAUUAAAAAAAUUCAGUUUUUAAAGAUUUGCUCACUUACCUUUUUCUUGAUCUUUAUAGGUCGUUUAGUGGCUAGUCUUGUUGCAGAAUUUCUUCAGUUUUUUAACCUUGACUUUACUUUGGCUGUUUUUCAACCUGAAACUAGCACAGUAAGAAUAAUGAUUUUUACAUCUAUCUUUUGAAACCUUCUUUGAUACAAAUGAGUUAAUAUUAAGCUGAAAGUUAAUAGAAUUUGACAACUGAUAGUUUUUUACAUUUAGAUUAUUUUUGGUAGUUGAUUAUCUGUUUUUCUUAAAAGCCAUAUGAGCUUUCAGAUAGCUGGCACCAGUGUUGCUGCUUUGUGUUACUUGAAAGCUUGCUAAUAAAAGUGUUACUAUAGAGUUAAUUUUGAUACGAUGUUAGAUUGCACCUGUUAAUGGAAACUUUGAAGGUAGAGGCUCUGUAAAAGAAAUAGGCAUAAUUUUUAAAAAUAGUCAUUUCACUCAUUAGUAAGACAGUCUCUGAGUUUAAAGAUGUCUUUAAACUCUGAAAAUAUUUUCUUUACUCCUUGAGAAUAACUUCUGCUAUUUUUUUGUGCACUUGUAUUUUAACUUCUUUUCUAGCUGCAAGGUCUCGAAGGUCGAGAGAAUUUAGCCCGAGAUUUAGGUAUAAUUGAAGCAGAAGGUACUGUGGGUGGACCUUUAUUAUUAGAAGUGAUCAGGCGCUGUCAACAGAAAGAAAAAGGGCCAACCACUGGGGAAGGUGCACUAGACCUAUCUGAUGUACAUUCUCCACCAAAGUCACCAGAGGGAAAAACAAGUGCACAGACAACACCAAGUAAGAAGGCCAAUGAUGAGGCCAAUCAGAGUGAUACAAGUGUCUCUUUGUCAGAACCCAAGAGCAAAAGCAGCCUUCACUUACUGUCCCAUGAAACAAAAAUUGGAUCUUUUCUAAGCAACAGAACUUUAGAUGGCAAAGACAAAGCCGGCCUUUGUCCAGAUGAAGAUGAUACGGAAGGAGAUUCUUUCUUUGAUGAUCCCAUUCCUAAGCCAGAGAAAACUUACGGUUUGAAUGAACCUAGGAAGCAAGCAGGAAGCCUGGCCUCACUCUCAGAUGCACCCCCCUUAAAAAGUGGACUCAGCUUCCUGGCGGGAGCCCCUUCUUUAAAAGACUCUGAGAGUAAAAGGGGAAAUACAGUUUUGAAAGAUCUGAAAUUGAUCAGUGAUAAAAUUGGAUCACUUGGAUUAGGAACUGGAGAAGACGAUGACUAUGUUGAUGAUUUUAACAGUACCAGCCAUCGCUCAGAGAAAAGUGAGAUAAGUAUUGGUGAAGAGAUAGAAGAAGACCUUUCUGUGGAAAUAGAUGACAUCAAUACCAGUGAUAAGCAAGAAGACCAAGAUGACAAGAUGAGCCAAGAGACUUGGCCAGAGGACCUCCAGGCUGACAGUUUCCCCGAGGAAGUCAGAUUGGAAAAGUGUCCUCAGGUUCAAGGAAACCUGGGUGUGCACUGGGUGAAUGAGAGUGGCAGACAGAAGGAAACAGCAAGGCCUCUGAAUUUGCUUCAAAUGGUGGAUUUCAAAGCCCUUCGUCCUCAGGCCCUCCACAACUGCUCCAGCUCUUCCUGGUCUCCUGCUAAACUUCUUCAGCCUGGACCCAUGCACCGCCACUGCUGGCGUUCCCAGCACAUCAGUCAUUUCCACUUUCCUGCUACCGCUGCCUGUGAGCUGAAGGGGUUGAACCCUACACUCCUUUUUCUACAACCAGCUUGCAUUUUUUCUGCCCACAAUGAGCGGGGAAUCAAUGAAUUUCAGCGAUGUUUUCGACUCCAGUGAAGAUUAUUUUGUGUCAGUCAAUACUUCAUAUUACUCAGUUGAUUCUGAAAUGUUACUGUGCUCCUUGCAGGAGGUCAGGCAGUUCUCCAGGCUAUUUGUACCGAUAGCCUACUCCUUGAUCUGUGUCUUUGGCCUCCUGGGGAAUAUUCUGGUGGUGAUCACCUUUGCUUUUUAUAAGAAGGCCAGAUCUAUGACAGACGUCUAUCUCUUGAACAUGGCCAUUGCAGACAUCCUCUUUGUUCUUACUCUCCCAUUCUGGGCAGUGAGUCAUGCCACCGGUGCGUGGGUUUUCAGCAAUGCCAUGUGCAAGUUGCUAAAAGGCAUCUAUGCCAUCAACUUUAACUGUGGGAUGCUGCUCCUGACUUGCAUUAGCAUGGACCGGUACAUCGCCAUUGUACAGGCGACUAAGUCAUUCCGGCUCCGAUCCAGAACACUACCGCGCAGCAAAAUCAUCUGCCUUGUUGUGUGGGGGUUGUCAGUCAUCAUCUCCAGCUCAACUUUUGUCUUCAACCAGAAAUACAACAUCCUAGGCAGCGAUGUCUGUGAACCCAACUACCACACUGUCUCGGAGCCCAUCAGGUGGAAACUGCUGAUGUUGGGGCUUGAGCUACUCUUUGGUUUCUUUAUCCCUUUGAUGUUCAUGAUAUUUUGUUACACGUUCAUUGUGAAAACCUUGGUGCAAGCUCAGAAUUCUAAAAGGCACAAAGCCAUCCGAGUAAUCAUAGCCGUGGUGCUUGUGUUUCUGGCUUGUCAGAUUCCUCAUAACACGGUCCUGCUUUUGAUGGCUGCAAAUUUGGGUAAAAUGAACCGAUCCUGCCAGAGCGAAAAGCUAAUUGGCUAUACGAAAACUGUCACAGAAGUCCUGGCUUUCCUGCACUGCUGCCUGAACCCUGUGCUCUAUGCUUUUAUUGGGCAGAAGUUCAGAAACUACUUUCUGAAGAUCUUGAAGGACCUGUGGUGUGUGAGAAGGAAGUACAAGUCCUCGGGCUUCUCCUGUGCCGGGAGGUACUCAGAAAACAUUUCUCGGCAGACCAGUGAGACUGCAGAUAACGACAAUGCGUCGUCCUUCACUAUGUGAUAGAAAGCUGAGUCUCCCUAAGGCAUGUGUGAAACAUACUCAUAGAUGUUAUGCAAAAAAAAGUCUAUGGCCAAGUUUGCAUGGAAAGUGUGGGAAUUCAGCAAAAUCAAGCAAGCGUCUCUCCUGCGGGACUUAACAUGCUCAUGGGCUGUGUGAUCUCUUCAGGGUGGGGUGGUCUCUGAUAGGUAGCAUUUUCUAGCACACUUUGCAAGGAAUGUUUUGUAGCUCUAGGGUAUAUAUCCGCCUGGCGUUUCACAAAACAGCCUUUGGGAAAUGCUGAAUUAAAGUGAAUUGCUGACAAAUGUAAACAUUUUCAGAAAUAUUCAUGAAGAGGUCACAGAUCACAGUGUCUUUUGGUUACAGCACAAAAUGAUGGCAGUGGUUUGAAAAACUAAAACAGAAAAAAACAAACGGAAGCCCACACAUCACUCAUUUUAGGCAAAUGUUUAAACAUUUUUAUCUAUCAGAAUGUUUAUUGUUGCUGGUUAUAAGCAGCAGGAUUGGCUGGCUGGUGUUUUCUCUCAUUUCCCUUUGAUACAGUCAACAAGCCUGACCCUGUAAAACGGAGGCGGAAAGACAAGCUCAAGUGUUCACAACCUGGAAGUGCUUCGGGAAGAAGGGGACAAUGGCAGAACAGGUGUUGGCGACAAUUGUCACCAAUUGGAUAAAGCAGCUCAGGUUGGGCCAUUAGGAAAGUGUCAGUUUGCUUUGAUUUCCCUGGGAGCUGUUCUCUGUCGUGAGUGACUCAUCUCUAAACGUCCAUUAGGCUGAGAGUGCUAUGAAGACAGGAGCUAGAAUAAUCUUGCUCACAGCUGUGCUCUGAGUGCCUAGCGGAGUUCCAGCGAACAAAAUGGACUCAAAAGAGAUUUGAUUAGUGAAUCGUAAUGAAGUUGUGGUUUAUUGUACAGUUUAAAAUAUUAGAUGUUUUUAAUUUUUUAAAUAAAUAGAAUACUUUUUUUUUUUUUUUUAAGAAAGCAACUUUACUGAGACAAUGUAGAAAGAAGUUUUGUUCCAUUUCUUUAAUGUGGUUGAAGAGCAAUGUGUGGUUGAAGACUUUUGUUAUGAGGAGCUGUAGAUUAGCUAGGGGACAGCUGGAAUUAUUCUGGCUUCUGAUAAUGAUUUUAAAGGGGUCUGAAAUUUGUGAUGGAAUCAGAUUUUAACAACUCUCUUCAAUGACAUAGAAAGUUCAUGGAACUCAUGUUUUUAAAGGGCUAUAUAAAUAUAUGAACAUUAGAAAAAUAUCAACUUGUGUUACAGAAAUACAAACACGUGUUAGGAAGGUACUGUCAUGGGCUAGGCAUGGUGGCUCAUGCCUGUAACCCCAGCAUUUUGGGAAGCUAAGAUGGGCGGAUCACUCGAGGUCAGGAGUUCAAGACCAGCCUGGCCAACGUGGCGAAACCCCUCUCUACUAAAAAUACAAAAAUUCACCAGGCGUGGUGGCGGGUGCCUGUAAUCCCAGCUACUUGGGAGGCUGAGGCAAGAGAAUCGCUUGAACCCAGGAGGCAGAGGUUGCAGUCAGCCGAGAUCAUGCCAUUGCACUCCAGCCUGGGUGACAGAGCAAGACUCCGUCUCAAAAAAAAAAAAAAAAAAAAAAGGAAAGAACUGUCAUGAAUUACAAAAAUAUUGACAUGUUUAAACCUGACAAUGGUGUUAUUUGAAACUUUAUAUUGUUCUUGUAAGCUUUAACUAUAUCUCUCUUUAAAAUGCAAAAUAAUGUCGUAAGAUUCGAAGUCUGUAUUUUUAAAGCAUGGCUUUGGCUUUGCAAAAUAAAAAAUGUGUUCUGUAUAUGAA